This 406-nucleotide ribosomal RNA is filed under the name uncultured bacterium. RNAcentral's name for it is "partial 16S ribosomal RNA". It matches the Rfam family "Bacterial small subunit ribosomal RNA", at positions 29 to 526 of the family's 1533-position model. The record is from RNAcentral.
AUUGAACGCUGGCGGCAGGCCUAACACAUGCAAGUCGAACGAGUGGCGGACGGGUGAGGAAUACAUCGGGACCUGCCCAGACGUGGGGGAUAACGUAGGGAAACUUACGCUAAUACCGCAUACGGUUGGAUGGACCGAUGUUCGAUUAGCUAGUUGGUGGGGUAAUGGCUCACCAAGGCGACGAUCGAUAGCUGGUCUGAGAGGAGGAUCAGCCACACUGGGACGGAGACACGGCCCAGACUCCUACGGGGGGCAGCAGUGGGGAAUAUUGGACAAUGGGGGCAAGCCGGAUCAAGAAAUGCCGCGUGUGGGAAGAAGGCCUUCGGGUUGUAAAGCACUUUUAUCAGGAGCGCGGUACCUGAGGAAUAAGCACCGGCUAACUACGUGCCAGCCGCCGCGGUAAUUC